AUUGAACGCUGGCGGCAUGCCUUACACAUGCAAGUCGAACGGUAACAGGUUAAGCUGACGAGUGGCGAACGGGUGAGUAAUAUAUCGGAACGUGCCCAGUCGUGGGGGAUAACGUAGCGAAAGCUACGCUAAUACCGCAUACGAUCUACGGAUGAAAGCGGGGGAUCGCAAGACCUCGCGCGAUUGGAGCGGCCGAUAUCAGAUUAGGUUGUUGGUGAGGGAAAAGCUCACCAAGCCUGCGAUCUGUAGCUGGUCUGAGAGGACGACCAGCCACCAUGGAACUCAGACACGGUCCAGACUCCUCCCGGAGGCAGCAGUGGGGAAUUUUGGACAAUGGACGCAAGUCUGAUCCAGCAAUGCCGCGUGCAGGACGAAGGCCUUCGGGUUGUAAACUGCUUUUGUACGGAACGAAACGGUGAGCUCUAAUACAGUUUGCUAAUGACGGUACCGUAAGAAUAAGCACCGGCUAACUACGUGCCAGCCGCCGCCGUAA
RNAcentral lists this ribosomal RNA (493 nucleotides) under uncultured bacterium. Its description in RNAcentral is "partial 16S ribosomal RNA". It matches the Rfam family "Bacterial small subunit ribosomal RNA", at positions 30 to 523 of the family's 1533-position model. The record is from RNAcentral.